RNAcentral lists this unclassified non-coding RNA (385 nucleotides) under fungal sp. Its description in RNAcentral is "partial internal transcribed spacer region". Lineage: Eukaryota; Fungi. The record is from RNAcentral.
AAGUCGUAACAAGGUGAACCUGCGGAAGGAUCAUUAACACGUAUCCAAACGUUAAACCCCCCUGUGAACCUUCACCUGUACGUCCGUUAGAAAAAGCAGCAAUCCCUGGUAAAUCAUCGCCGCACAGUUUUCGAUUCAGGGACGUCUGCAAGGAGCGUGCAUGUUGUGCGAAGCAAGUGGCCUGGCAUCCCCAAGCAGUUAGUGUCUGAAAGUGUCAUUACCUGUGUAAGGAUGACGCAGUCACGAUCGUUGGAGGCCCACACGGCCGACGACCGGGUCGCUGGGCGCAAGCCCCCCUAUAACAAACCCCCUGCCAAUCGCGGCCGCGAUAAUACGCAGUCGACCAAAAACCGAACAACUGUUAACAAUGGAUAUCUUGGUUCUC